RNAcentral lists this ribosomal RNA (254 nucleotides) under uncultured bacterium. RNAcentral's name for it is "partial 16S ribosomal RNA". It matches the Rfam family "Bacterial small subunit ribosomal RNA", at positions 524 to 776 of the family's 1533-position model. The record is from RNAcentral.
UACGUAGGAGACAAGCGUUGUCCGGAAUUACUGGGUGUAAAGCGCGUGUAGGCGGUAGGCCAAGUCUGCUGUGAAAUCGCCCGGCUCAACUGGGCGCGGUCGGUGGAAACUGGUCAACUGGAGGACGGUAGAGGCGAGUGGAAUUCCCGGUGUAGUGGUGAAAUGCGCAGAUAUCAGGAGGAACACCGAUGGCGAAGGCAGGUCGUCUGGGCCGAUACUGACGCUGAGGAGCGAAAGCGUGGGGAGCAAACAGG